Molecule: non-coding RNA, 300 nt
Organism: Mus musculus (house mouse)
Lineage: Eukaryota; Metazoa; Chordata; Mammalia; Rodentia; Muridae
Source: the annotation of a RefSeq genome assembly
CAGGUUACUCUGAAAGUGUCUGGCCCUGGGAUAUUGCAGCCAUCACAGACUCUCAGCCUGGCCUGUACUUUCUCUGGGAUUUCACUGAGUACUUCUGGUAUGGGUUUGAGCUGGCUUCGUAAGCCCUCAGGGAAGGCUUUAGAGUGGCUGGCAAGCAUUUGGAAUAAUGAUAACUACUACAACCCAUCUUUGAAGAGCCGGCUCACAAUCUCCAAGGAGACCUCCAACUACCAAGUAUUCCUUAAACUCACCAGUGUGGACACUGCAGAUUCUGCCACAUACUACGGUGCUUGGAGAGAG